GGUGAACGCUGGCGGUAGGCCUAACACAUGCAAGUCGAACGGCAGCACAGUAAGAGCUUGCUCUUACGGGUGGCGAGUGGCGGACGGGUGAGGAAUACAUCGGAAUCUACUUUUUCGUGGGGGAUAACGUAGGGAAACUUACGCUAAUACCGCAUACGACCUACGGGUGAAAGCAGGGGAUCUUCGGACCUUGCGCGAUUGAAUGAGCCGAUGUCGGAUUAGCUAGUUGGCGGGGUAAAGGCCCACCAAGGCGACGAUCCGUAGCUGGUCUGAGAGGAUGAUCAGCCACACUGGAACUGAGACACGGUCCAGACUCCUACGGGAGGCAGCAGUGGGGAAUAUUGGACAAAGGGCGCAAGCCUGAUCCAGCCAUACCGCGUGGGUGAAGAAGGCCUUCGGGUUGUAAAGCCCUUUUGUUGGGAAAGAAAAGCAGCAGGUUAAUACCCCGCUGUUCUGGCGGUACCCAAAGAAUAAGCACCGGCUAACUUCGUG
RNAcentral lists this ribosomal RNA (492 nucleotides) under uncultured bacterium. Its description in RNAcentral is "partial 16S ribosomal RNA". It matches the Rfam family "Bacterial small subunit ribosomal RNA", at positions 28 to 507 of the family's 1533-position model. The record is from RNAcentral.